UGAUCCUUGCUCAGAACGAACGCUGGCGGCAGGCUUAACACAUGCAAGUCGAGCGCCCCGCAAGGGGAGCGGCAGACGGGUGAGUAACGCGUGGGAAUCUACCCAUCUCUACGGAACAACUCCGGGAAACUGGAGCUAAUACCGUAUACGUCCUUAUGGAGAAAGAUUUAUCGGAGAUGGAUGAGCCCGCGUUGGAUUAGCUAGUUGGUGGGGUAAUGGCCUACCAAGGCGACGAUCCAUAGCUGGUCUGAGAGGAUGAUCAGCCACACUGGGACUGAGACACGGCCCAGACUCCUACGGGAGGCAGCAGUGGGGAAUAUUGGACAAUGGGCGCAAGCCUGAUCCAGCCAUGCCGCGUGAGUGAUGAAGGCCCUAGGGUUGUAAAGCUCUUUCAACGGUGAAGAUAAUGACGGUAACCGUAGAAGAAGCCCCGGCUAACUUCGUGCCAGCAGCCGCGGUAAUACGAAGGGGGCUAGCGUUGUUCGGAAUUACUGGGCGUAAAGCGCACGUAGGCGGAUACUUAAGUCAGGGGUGAAAUCCCGGGGCUCAACCCCGGAACUGCCUUUGAUACUGGGUAUCUGGAGUCCGGAAGAGGUGAGUGGAAUUCCGAGUGCCGACCUGCCAUUCGUAGAUAUUCGGAGGAACACCAGUGGCGAAGGCGGCUCACUGGUCCGGUAAUGACGCUGAGGUGCGAAANCNUG
RNAcentral lists this ribosomal RNA (701 nucleotides) under uncultured bacterium. Its description in RNAcentral is "bacterial SSU rRNA". It matches the Rfam family "Bacterial small subunit ribosomal RNA", at positions 14 to 763 of the family's 1533-position model. The record is from RNAcentral.